UAUACAUUAAAAACAUUGUGAGAAAGUGUAUGCUUUGCAGGCUGCCAAUGAAAUCUCAUCUUUUAUCAUACCAAAAAUGUGAAGAACCCCUAGUCUAGAAGGAUUCCAGACAAAGAAAACUCGGAGCAAAGGCAAGAAAAUACAUGGCCAGCCAAGUAUUCCAUUUUGCGUAAAACUGAGGUAAAGCAAGGAAAUGCCGGAAGAGAAAAAAGAAAAGGCUGAACCUGAUUGUCAGAACUGGACUUCUUCCAGCAGACUCUGGGGAGCUACUUAAUCAGGACUUUUUAAAAAGAGGGAGCAAGAGGCAGAGCCAACGAGACACAACCAGCUCAGGGUUUUCAAAGAAUUCCCUAGCAAAGGUAAGAAGGAAGGCCUGGAAUAGAAAGAAACAGAAGGUGAGAGACCAAGCAGGAGAUGAGAUUUCUAAUCCAGGCUUAUCUAAUAGCCCAAAGUGAAGAAAGAACUGACUAUGAAAAUGGGACGAAUAUGAGAGUGCUGUGAAAAUUCAGCAGUGACUAAAACAGAAGAAUCAAACAUGACUCCAAAGUCUGAAGAGAAGGCGACUGGGACAAGAGUCAUACUAAGAAAGAAUUAAGGAUGCCAAGUGGAGCAAGUCUGGCAAAGGAAAGUGCUGAGUUGCCUACAGGAUAUCCGGGUGAAAACAUCCAGCAGUUAUUUAUCCGCCUGGGACAGUACUGACCUUUAAGACUUACUGUAUCUCCUGAAUAGCCUAUUUGGACUUCAUCAAGAGCUUUUCCCAAACAGGGAUUUUUAUCUUGCGGGCCCAUGGACUCAUGGGGAGUCCCAUGAACCUCCCAAAUUAUUAAAGAAAAUUUUAUUUGUGUUCAUGGACAUUUGGGGAGAGGUAUGUACUUUCAUUACAAACUCAAGGAGCACGAAACUCCCUUUUCCCUCACAAAAAUGUUAAUACUCUCCAUUCAUCCUUCUAAACACUCCAAGCAAGGAAUUCCAGGCUCUUGACAAAUUCCUCUGCUUACUAUUUCUGGAAAUCAGGACUCCAAUCCAGUUGUCUGCUGCCUCCGCCACUCAUCUGCCUCCUGACCACAUUCCCUGUACACAGGCUGACAGGGGCUCUGUGGCAUACCACCUUUGGCAAUUCCUGGACUCAACCUUCCUCCUGCUACUGCUGCCCUCCCCUAAAAGAAGGCAGAAAACCCUCUUUUAAUUCUUUGAUCACAUUGCUCAGCCCAUCCACAACUUUUAGCAAAAACUUCUUGGAAAGUUCAGGAAAAUAGAAGGGGGCAUUAUGGCAUCAAUAUCUCAAAGCUGUACUGUAUGUGGUGAUUCCCAGAGAACAGCAGUUCAGAUGUACCUCAUGUCCCUUCAAGCUGGGAUUCUACUGAGAUAUGGAAAUAUUAUUCAAAAGAUAUGAGAAUAGAGAUCAUUUUAAGAAAAUCAAUUUUUAGGAAAUCAAUUUCAGAUUCCUCAACUUCCAUAUGAACUCUCUCCUAAGAACCUGUGAAAGUGCUUUUAGUAAACUAAGCUUUUUCUACCUUCUCCUUUAAUAACUGCCUUUCUCUUACCAAAAAAUAAACUUACCUCUCACCCAUACGUUUACCAUAGCGUAUUAGGAGACCAUUUUCCAUGGGUUUUUUCAUGUUCUGCAGGUCUUGAGAGUAAGGCAUCAACUGCCCUUAGUUCUGCACUAUCUCUACAGGUUUCAGUGGGAAGAUGGCUCUGCCAUCACCAUGUCAGACUUCUAGCCUGCAGAACUGAGAGACAAUACAUUUCUGUUGCUUUAAACCAUCCAAUUUUUGGUAUUU
Molecule: long non-coding RNA, 1784 nt
Filed under: Homo sapiens (human)
Lineage: Eukaryota; Metazoa; Chordata; Mammalia; Primates; Hominidae
Description: HSALNT0190498
Source: RNAcentral